AGCUUUUACAAUUGAUUCUCCUUUUGUUUCGUUUCUAUCAUUCAUUCAUUCAUUCAUCACAAUCACAGUGUCCCACUCCCACUGACGGCGACGGAGGACCAUCGAACCCACCCACCCACCUAUUAAAAAACCAAACCAAACAAACCCUAAACCCACACUCCCUCACUCACUCACUCACUCUCAUUUCGUGCCUCCGUCACCGGAACCCUAACACCACCGCACAAUGUCAAUGGCCCACCGCUUAACCCACCUCCGCCACCACCUCAACCUCCCUCUCUCUCACUCUCGCCACCACCACCCCCUCGCCGCACCCACCACCCUCCGCCCUUCCCCCUCCCCGCUCCGCCCCAAUCUCCUCCGCUCCUCCCUUCACAAACCCAUCUCCGCCUCCGUCGCUACCCCCGCCGCCCCCACUCUCCCGGCGACGGACAGCGCCGGGAAACUAGGCAAGCGAACUGACAUCAAGAAGAUUCUCAUCCUCGGCGCUGGCCCUAUCGUGAUAGGGCAAGCGUGCGAGUUUGACUACUCAGGAACCCAAGCAUGCAAGGCGCUGCGAGAAGAAGGGUAUGAAGUUGUUCUCAUCAACUCCAACCCUGCCACCAUCAUGACCGACCCGGAAACCGCUGACCGGACCUACGUUACCCCCAUGACGCCGGAGCUUGUUGAGCAGGUUCUCGAAGCAGAGCGCCCUGACGCGCUUCUCCCCACCAUGGGCGGCCAGACCGCGCUCAACCUCGCCGUGGCCUUAGCCGAGAGCGGCGCGUUGGACAAGUACGGUGUAGAGCUUAUCGGAGCCAAGCUGGAGGCGAUUAAGAAGGCGGAGGAUAGAGAGCUUUUCAAGGAUGCUAUGAAGAAUAUUGGGAUUAAGACCCCGCCUUCCGGCAUUGGGACUACCCUUGAGGAGUGUUUGAGAAUUGCCGGAGAAAUUGGCGAGUAUCCGGUGAUCGUUAGGCCCGCGUUUACCCUGGGUGGUACCGGGGGUGGUAUCGCGUAUAAUAGAGAGGAUUUGGUGGAGAUUUGUAAGGCUGGGAUUGCUGCUAGUUUGACGAAUCAAGUGUUGAUUGAGAAGUCGUUGCUCGGUUGGAAGGAGUAUGAGCUUGAGGUUAUGAGGGAUUUGGCUGAUAAUGUUGUGAUUAUAUGUUCCAUUGAGAAUAUUGAUCCAAUGGGGGUUCACACUGGGGAUUCUAUCACUGUUGCGCCCGCGCAGACUUUGACGGAUAAGGAGUAUCAGCGCCUCAGGGAUUAUUCGGUUGCGAUAAUAAGGGAAAUUGGGGUGGAGUGUGGGGGUUCCAAUGUGCAGUUUGCUGUUAACCCGGUGGACGGAGAGGUUAUGGUGAUUGAGAUGAACCCCAGAGUGUCCAGGUCAUCUGCUCUGGCAUCAAAGGCAACUGGGUUUCCGAUCGCGAAAAUGGCGGCAAAGUUAUCCGUCGGUUAUUCGUUGGAUCAAAUCCCAAAUGAUAUAACAAAAAAGACACCUGCUAGUUUUGAACCCUCCAUAGAUUAUGUGGUUACAAAGAUUCCUCGGUUUGCUUUUGAAAAAUUUCCUGGCUCACAGCCAAUAUUGACAACACAGAUGAAAUCAGUAGGGGAGUCGAUGGCAGUAGGGCGAACCUUCCAAGAGUCCUUUCAAAAAGCAGUGCGCUCUCUAGAAUGCGGCUACUCUGGAUGGGGGUCUGGACAUGUGAAGGAGUUGGACUAUGAUUGGGAGCAAUUGAAGUAUAACCUUAGAGUUCCUAACCCAGAGCGCAUCCAUGCCGUAUAUGCUGCGAUGAAGAAAGGGAUGCAAAUUGAUGAAAUCUUUGAGCUGAGUUUUAUUGACAGAUGGUUUCUCACACAGCUCAAGGAGUUAGUUGAUGUGGAAAAUUUCUUGCUGUCUCGUAGUUUACUUGAUUUGACUGACAAUGAUUUCUAUGAGGUGAAGAGAAGAGGAUUUAGUGAUAAACAGAUAGCAUUUGCCACUAAGUCCACCGAGAAAGAAGUCCGAGUUAGGCGACUAUCACUCGGUGUUACCCCAGCGUAUAAACGAGUUGAUACCUGCGCUGCAGAAUUUGAAGCUAAUACUCCUUAUAUGUACUCUUCUUAUGAUUUUGAGUGCGAAUCAGCUCCCACUAAAAGAAAGAAGGUUCUAAUUUUGGGUGGAGGACCAAAUAGAAUUGGUCAAGGGAUUGAGUUUGACUACUGCUGCUGUCAUGCAUCCUUUUCUCUGCAGGCAGCAGGAUAUGAGACAAUUAUGGUGAAUUCAAAUCCUGAAACUGUCUCCACAGAUUAUGACACUAGUGAUCGUCUCUACUUUGAACCCUUGACCGUUGAAGAUGUUUUAAACAUUAUUGAUUUGGAGAGGCCUGAUGGUAUCAUUGUACAAUUUGGAGGUCAAACGCCAUUGAAGUUAUCUCUCCCCAUACAAAGAUAUCUAGAUGAACAUAAGCCAGUUUGCGCUAGUGGGGAGGGUCAUGUCCGCAUUUGGGGCACAUCUCCUGAUUCCAUAGAUAUAGCUGAGGACAGGGAGAGGUUCAAUGUGAUGCUUCAUGAACUAAAGAUCAAACACCCAAAAGGUGGAAUUGCUAAGAGUGAAGCCGAUGCACUUUCCAUUGCAGCCGAAAUUGGAUACCCAGUUGUUGUUCGCCCAUCUUAUGUCUUGGGUGGUCGAGCAAUGGAGAUUGUAUAUAGUGAUGAUAAACUCGUGACUUACCUUGAAAAUGCUGUUGAAGUGGAUCCAGAACGCCCUGUAUUAAUUGACAAGUAUUUAUGUGAUGCCAUUGAGAUUGAUGUUGAUGCACUUGCCGACUCUUAUGGCAAUGUUGUAAUCGGUGGGAUAAUGGAGCACAUUGAACAGGCUGGAAUACACUCUGGUGACUCUGCUUGCUCUAUUCCCACAAGAACUAUUCCAUCUUCAUGCUUGGAGACUAUCAGGACAUGGACUGAAAAUUUGGCCAAACAGCUGAAGGUAUGUGGGCUCAUGAAUUGUCAGUAUGCAAUAUCUCCAUCGGGAGAGGUAUUUUUGCUUGAGGCCAAUCCUCGAGCUUCUCGUACUGUCCCAUUUGUAUCAAAAGCAAUUGGCCAUCCCUUGGCUAAAUAUGCUUCCCUUGUUAUGUCUGGAAAGUCUCUUCAGGAUAUAAAAUUUACAAAAGAGGUUAUUCCUAAACAUGUGUCGGUCAAGGAAGCAGUUCUUCCAUUUUCAAAGUUCCCAGGUUGUGAUGUGUUUUUAAGUCCUGAGAUGCGCAGUACAGGUGAGGUCAUGGGUAUUGACCCUUCGUAUAAUAUAGCAUUUGCUAAGGCUCAAAUUGCUGCUGGUCAGAAGUUACCACUUUCUGGUACUGUAUUCCUUAGCUUGAAUGAAGUAACAAAGCCUCAUCUUGAGAAGAUUGCAAAGGCUUUCACUGAGAUCGGCUUUCAGAUUGUUGCUACUGCUGGAACAGCUCUUGCUCUUAAGUUUGUCCAAAUCCCAGCUGAGCGAGUGCUGAAGUUGCAUGAAGGGAGGCCUCAUGCUGGUGACAUGAUAGCCAAUGGAGACAUUCAGCUGAUGGUGGUAACCAGUUCUGAUGACGCACUUGAUCGGAUAGAUGGUCUGGCUCUGAGAAGAAUGGCUUUGGAUUACAAGGUUCCUAUUGUGACAACAAUUAAUGGUGCCCUGGCAACUGCUGAAGCUAUAAAGAGCUUGAAGUCCAAUUCUAUUAAAAUGAUUGCUCUUCAGGACUUCUUUGUUGAUGAAGUUAAAGAAUGAUAAUAAUUGCAGACAACCUCUUUCUCUCUGAAUUGGUUAGGUGAUAGAUAUUAAUUAUUCUGAGGCUGUACAACCGUGUGGAUUUGGGAGUUGCAGAUGAAUUUCUUCAGGAUGCUUUGAUAUGUAGAUUGAAAACGUCCAAAGGAGAUAUGAAAGGUCAUAAUCUGUGUCCUGACUCCUGAGAAAGCACUUGUGCUUUUGUGUAAAAGUUUUGUAGUUUGUUGGAUUUCCAUUUCAUAAUAAUCAAUUUCCUUUUAAAAAUCUUACAACUCCCAUUUGACACUGCUGCUUAGCCAUUCCAUUCAGAUGGCAGUAUCAAACCAAAUACUUUGAGUAGUACAAGUAUAUGUUAAUUAUCUGCUUGUCCCAAAAAAUUAUGAAUAGAUGAAGUGAGGUUAUGAUUAUAACUCUCCUGAACCUUUAGAA
Molecule: RNA transcript, 4147 nt
Organism: Lotus japonicus
Lineage: Eukaryota; Viridiplantae; Streptophyta; Magnoliopsida; Fabales; Fabaceae
Gene name: carbamoyl-phosphate synthase large chain, chloroplastic
Exons: 4
Source: RefSeq, a predicted model, not a curated record